RNAcentral lists this long non-coding RNA (1053 nucleotides) under Monodelphis domestica (gray short-tailed opossum). Its description in RNAcentral is "lncRNA (ENSMODG00000045056.1)". The record is from RNAcentral. Lineage: Eukaryota; Metazoa; Chordata; Mammalia; Didelphimorphia; Didelphidae.
AUGCGGCCUGCAGCAAGGCGUAUUCCCAGGAAAUUGCUGUUUUUCCUACCGAUGACAAGCCCUUCGCUUCCUGAAGAAUUCUGGGGCCUCUUCCUGCAUCCACAGCCUUCUCUCUCUCCUCCAACUGAGGAUCUGGUUCUUUUUUUGCAUGUCUGGCCUCCAAAGGAGGUUGAUCGGCUGCAGUUACUAAAACAUGAAGGAUUCAGAUCUGAAAACGAGUCAUGGGCCCGUGGGCGGCGUGUGGACCCCUCGCCCGCUCUGGAGCUCUUCUUUCAUUCCCCCAACAACGCGCCAGCCGCGCCCCCCGAUCUCCCCAUCAGUGUGCCUCGUGCUCCCUGGGUGCCCUGGAAAGGCAUCGGGCUGGGGCGAGGGGCGCCUCAGAACAAAAGGAAGGGGCCCACACGAGGCGCGAUCAGAGGCCGGAACCAGUCCCAGGCCCUGCUUGCCUCUCUCGAUGGGACUCUCCCCCCCCCCCCCCCGCCUUUGUGGCUGCUCUCAGAGCUCCCCCCGGCAGGCUGCCGAGACCAGAGCUUCAGGAGACAGCAGAGCCCGGGCCUCCAGAGCUCCUGGGCCGGGGGGCGCCGAGGCUUGCAAAGAGCUUCACGCCACCAGCCUCACAAGUGCCCCAGGCAACGUCCCCACUGCAGGGGAGGGGAAGAGCAGCAAACACGACAGUCAGGGGAGUGCUGGAGUCAAGAGUCCAACUCACGCACUUCUUGCGGCACCUCCCGUGUUCUCUCUUUUGAAGCCCUUACCAGGACUGCGUGCUGGCCCCAGGGCAGAAGAGCGGCCAGGGCUGGGCCAAGGCGUCCAGUGACUCGCCCAGGGUCGCCCAGCUGGGGAGUGGCUGGGGCCACACUGGAACCCAGGCCCUCCCAGGACUGCGUGCUGGCCCCAAGGCAGAGGCGUGCUAAGGGCUGGGCCAAGGCAUCCAGGGACUCGCCCAGGGUCGCCCAGCUGGGGAGUGGCUGGGGCCACACUGGAGCCCAGGCCCUCCGGCUCUGGGCCCGGCUCUCCCUCCGCCUCUUUCUACAUCCAACAGCCCCCGCGUGA